CGCAUAUCAUCUGACGGAGCGCAUCAUUCGAGCUUGCGAUAUUAGACUCCAGAGUUUAUCAAACAAGAGGUUAGGCUCACUCGUCCCUUUUUGCGACACUGGUAGAUGCGCGGGCAUGAUGAUCCAAGCAGAGAAAGGAUAUCCAAGACUUCAGAGAAAUAUGAACCGUUGGUUUGGAGAGAAUUAUUUUCAAGUCUCCAGAUUCUGCUUUAAACAGACAGUGAAUAGCUGGUAGUCACACUUUAGUAACUCGUUUUCCCAUAUUAAAAAUGUCUGAGUUAUGUCUAAGCACCUUCCUCGCGAAUAAUUCGCACCCCGUUCAGUCAGGCUUGUACAUU
RNAcentral lists this small RNA (338 nucleotides) under Cryptococcus neoformans H99. RNAcentral's name for it is "Cryptococcus neoformans var. grubii H99 hypothetical RNA". The record is from RNAcentral. Lineage: Eukaryota; Fungi; Basidiomycota; Tremellomycetes; Tremellales; Cryptococcaceae.